CGGUGUUUAACUGGCGUGAUGUGGGACGUCCUACCGGUGGGCUUAGCCUCGCGAGGGGCGGCCCAACUAAUAUCCCGUCGCGGUGCUCUUUACUGAGUGUCGAGUCGGGCCGAUACGUUUACUUUGAACAAAUUAGAGUGCUUAAAGCAGGCUAUCCUCGCCUGAAUACUGCGUGCAUGGAAUAAUGGAAUAGGACCUCGGUUCUAUUUUGUUGGUUUUCGGAACCCCGAGGUAAUGAUUAAUAGGGACAGAUGGGGGCAUUCGUAUUGCGACGUUAGAGGUGAAAUUCUUGGAUCGUCGCAAGACGGACAGAAGCGAAAGCAUUUGCCAAAAAUGUUUUCAUUAAUCAAGAACGAAAGUUAGAGGUUCGAAGGCGAUCAGAUACCGCCCUAGUUCUAACCAUAAACGAUGCCAGCUAGCGAUCCGCCGAAGUUCCUCCGAUGACUCGGCGGGCAGCUUCCGGGAAACCAAAGCUUUUGGGUUCCGGGGGAAGUAUGGUUGCAAAGCUGAAACUUAAAGGAAUUGACGGAAGGGCACCACCAGGAGUGGAGCCUGCGGCUUAAUUUGACUCAACACGGGAAACCUCACCAGGCCCAGACACCGGAAGGAUUGACAGAUUGAUAGCUCUUUCUUGAUUCGGUGGGUGGUGGUGCAUGGCCGUUCUUAGUUGGUGGAGCGAUUUGUCUGGUUAAUUCCGAUAACGAACGAGACUCUAGCCUGCUAAAUAGGCGUACCUUAUGGUAUCGCGAAGGCCCCCGGCUUCGGCCGGUGGGUUUUUACUACCAACGUACAAACAAAUCUUCUUAGAGGGACAGGCGG
This 819-nucleotide ribosomal RNA is filed under the name uncultured eukaryote. RNAcentral describes it as "SSU rRNA". It matches the Rfam family "Eukaryotic small subunit ribosomal RNA", at positions 629 to 1426 of the family's 1831-position model. The record is from RNAcentral.